GGCCCGCGGAGAGCGGGCGAGGGGGCGCGUCAGUGUGCGGACGGGGACCAGCGCUGACCUGUCCGAGGCAGGGCACAGCGGUGAGGGCUUCGUGCCAGCAGGCUGCGUUAGUGUGAACGUCUGUGAGGCGACUAGCCCCCCUCAGAGGGCCGAGGGCAAGCUGGUGCUGCCGGCUAGGAAGAAGCAAGGAGGAGGAAACAGAAUGGCAGGGUUUGUGGUGGAGACAGACACUUCCUUUUGCACUGACAAGAAGAGAAUCAGCCAGUAUUGAAGAUUCAUCAAAGAGGGCAAGAGGCUCAGAACACCACAGCUAUAACCUGCAACCGGGGAAGCAUUGUCCAU
RNAcentral lists this long non-coding RNA (342 nucleotides) under Fukomys damarensis (Damara mole-rat). RNAcentral describes it as "lncRNA (ENSFDAG00000025438.1)". The record is from RNAcentral. Lineage: Eukaryota; Metazoa; Chordata; Mammalia; Rodentia; Bathyergidae.